UUUCACCUCAUUCUGAGUCUUUGG
RNAcentral lists this non-coding RNA (24 nucleotides) under Cricetulus griseus (Chinese hamster). The record is from RNAcentral. Lineage: Eukaryota; Metazoa; Chordata; Mammalia; Rodentia; Cricetidae.